Molecule: ribosomal RNA, 449 nt
Filed under: uncultured Glomus
Lineage: Eukaryota; Fungi; Glomeromycota; Glomeromycetes; Glomerales; Glomeraceae
Description: SSU rRNA
Rfam family: Eukaryotic small subunit ribosomal RNA
Source: RNAcentral
AGCAGCCGCGGUAAUUCCAGCUCCAAUAGCGUAUAUUAAAGUUGUUGCAGUUAAAAAGCUCGUAGUUGAAUUUCGGGAUCAAGUCGUCGGUCGUGCUCAGGUACGUACUGGCGUCAUUGAUUUCUCCCUUCUGACGAACCAUGAUGUCAUUAACUUGGUGUCAUGGGAAAUCAGGACUGUUACUUUGAAAAAAUUAGAGUGUUUAAAGCAGGCUCACGCUUGAAUACAUUAGCAUGGAAUAAUGAAAUAGGACGUUCGAUCCUAUUUUGUUGGUUUUAGGAUCAACGUAAUGAUUAAUAGGGAUAGUUGGGGGCAUUAGUAUUCAAUUGUCAGAGGUGAAAUUCUUGGAUUUAUUGAAGACUAACUACUGCGAAAGCAUUUGCCAAGGAUGUUUUCAUUAAUCAAGAACGAAAGUUAGGGGAUCGAAGACGAUCAGAUACCGUCGUAGU